ACCAAAGCAUUCUCUGGUGUUGAAGGCCCUGCAAAGCAGCAUCGCGGUGGCGGAGCGUCGUUUGCGACGCCCAACACACAAAACAAGCGGUGAGUGCUUUGGGGUGGGGUGACUGCGUACCUUUUGUAUAAUGGGUCAGCGACUUAUAUUCUGUAGCAAGGUUAACCGUAUAGGGGAGCCGAAGGGAAACCGAGUCUUAACUGGGCGUUAAGUUGCAGGGUAUAGACCCGAAACCCGGUGAUCUAGCCAUGGGCAGGUUGAAGGUUGGGUAACACUAACUGGAGGACCGAACCGACUAAUGUUGAAAAAUUAGCGGAUGACUUGUGGCUGGGGGUGAAAGGCCAAUCAAACCGGGAGAUAGCUGGUUCUCCCCGAAAGCUAUUUAGGUAGCGCCUCGUGAACUCAUCUUCGGGGGUAGAGCACUGUUUCGGCUAGGGGGUCAUCCCGACUUACCAACCCGAUGCAAACUGCGAAUACCGAAGAAUGUUAUCACGGGAGACACACGGCGGGUGCUAACGUCCGUCGUGAAGAGGGAAACAACCCAGACCGCCAGCUAAGGUCCCAAAGUCACAGUUAAGUGGGAAACGAUGUGGGAAGGCUCAGACAGCCAGGAUGUUGGCUUAGAAGCAGCCAUCAUUUAAAGAAAGCGUAAUAGCUCACUGGUCGAGUCGGCCUGCGCGGAAGAUGUAACGGGGCUAAACUGUGCACCGAAGCUGCGGCAGCGACGCUUAUGCGUUGUUGGGUAGGGGAGCGUUCUGUAAGCCUGCGAAGGUGUCCUGUGAGGGAUGCUGGAGGUAUCAGAAGUGCGAAUGCUGACAUAAGUAACGAUAAUGCGGGUGAAAAGCCCGCUCGCCGGAAGACCAAGGGUUCCUGUCCAACGUUAAUCGGGGCAGGGUGAGUCGACCCCUAAGGCGAGGCCGAAAGGCGUAGUCGAUGGGAAACGGGUUAAUAUUCCCGUACUUGGUGUUACUGCGAAGGGGGGACGGAGAAGGCUAUGUUGGCCGGGCGACGGUUGUCCCGGUUUAAGCGUGUAGGCUGGUUUUCCAGGCAAAUCCGGAAAAUCAAG
Molecule: ribosomal RNA, 1066 nt
Filed under: Salmonella enterica subsp. enterica serovar Kentucky
Lineage: Bacteria; Pseudomonadati; Pseudomonadota; Gammaproteobacteria; Enterobacterales; Enterobacteriaceae
Description: partial 23S ribosomal RNA
Rfam family: Bacterial large subunit ribosomal RNA
Source: RNAcentral